This 553-nucleotide ribosomal RNA is filed under the name Russula fragilis. RNAcentral's name for it is "eukaryotic LSU rRNA". The stretch from base 29 to 182 matches the Rfam family "5.8S ribosomal RNA". Lineage: Eukaryota; Fungi; Basidiomycota; Agaricomycetes; Russulales; Russulaceae. The record is from RNAcentral.
UUUUUUUGCGAUGACACGCAAUCAAUACAACUUUCAACAACGGAUCUCUUGGCUCUCGCAUCGAUGAAGAACGCAGCGAAAUGCGAUACGUAAUGUGAAUUGCAGAAUUCAGUGAAUCAUCGAAUCUUUGAACGCACCUUGCGCCCCUUGGCAUUCCGAGGGGCACACCCGUUUGAGUGUCGUGAAAUUCUCAAAACCCCUUCCUUUGCUGGAAAGGAUUUUGGACUUGGAGGUCUUUUGCUGGCUUCACCUCGAAGCGAGCUCCUCCUAAAUGGAUUAGUGGGGUCUGCUUUGCCGAUCCUUGACGUGAUAAGAUGUUUCUACGUCUCGGGCUUUGGCACUGUACCUCUGCUUCUAACCGUCUCAUUGACAAUGAUGGUGUUCCGGUCACCGCCGAUUCGUCGGUGGGAGGCUUGACCCACAAAACGACCUUGACCUCAAAUCGGGUGAGACUACCCGCUGAACUUAAGCAUAUCAAUAAGCGGAGGAAAAGAAACUAACAAGGAUUCCCCUAGUAACUGCGAGUGAAGCGGGAAAAGCUCAAAUUUAAAAU